GUCUACUAAUUAUAGACCUGUAUGAAAGGCAAAAUGAGGGUCUAACUGUCUCUUAUGAUAAAUCAAUUAAACUGAUCUCCCAGUAAAAAAGCUGGGAUACUCACAUAAGACCAGAAGACCCUGUGAAGCUUAAAAUAAACUAUUAAACCAAAUAAUAGCUACUUUCGGUUGGGGCGACCUUGGAAAAAAAAAGAACUUCCAAAUACAAUCCACCUACAGAUCAACCAGGCUUACAAGCCAUACAACGACCCAGCAUAGCUGAUAAUUGAACCAAGUUACUCCAGGGAUAACAGCGCAAUCUUCUUCAAGAGCCCAUAUCAAAAAGAAGGUUUACGACCUCGAUGUUGGAUCAGGACAUCCUAAUGGUGCAGCCGCU
This 376-nucleotide ribosomal RNA is filed under the name Boiga westermanni. Its description in RNAcentral is "partial 16S ribosomal RNA". It matches the Rfam family "Bacterial large subunit ribosomal RNA", at positions 1971 to 2563 of the family's 2925-position model. Lineage: Eukaryota; Metazoa; Chordata; Lepidosauria; Squamata; Colubridae. The record is from RNAcentral.